CAAUUUACGUAAUGUUAAUGAGAACGUCAUCUGUUGCGAUUACAUUUAGUUUUGGCGACUGUGUCAGGGAUUUUGUGGACUGUCUGCAGUUUUCCCUUCACACCCCAGACAAUUUUUUCAUUUUCCAAUGUAAAGACUAUUACUAGUACAGAAAAGAACUGAAUAUAAUACAUCAACACGACAAGGGCUAGGUGCACUGGAUUAGCUGAGGAAUUGAGGCAGAUAAUGAACGACCAAGAGGUGUUCCAGACCCAGAGGAACAGGCAUUUAAGGUAAUUGCAGCGGAACCCUUCAGAAAUAACCGGAGCACUGCACAACAACUGGCACUUUCCCAGUUGAACAUAGUAAUGUUUACAUCAACCUAUUAUGGUGACAAUAAAAGAAAUAAUCCUCGUUGA
Dendroctonus ponderosae (mountain pine beetle) is the source of this 398-nucleotide long non-coding RNA. RefSeq lists it as uncharacterized. The record is from RefSeq and is a predicted model, not a curated record. NCBI's taxonomy places the organism in Eukaryota, Metazoa, Arthropoda, Insecta, Coleoptera, Curculionidae. The transcript is spliced from 2 exons.